Macaca mulatta (Rhesus monkey) is the source of this 69-nucleotide non-coding RNA. The record is from Rfam. NCBI's taxonomy places the organism in Eukaryota, Metazoa, Chordata, Mammalia, Primates, Cercopithecidae.
GCAGCUGUGGCUCAGUGGAAAGAGCAUCAGUCUGGGCAUCAGAAGACCUGGGUCCUAGCCCCAGCUGUA